CCUACGGGAGGCAGCAGUGAGGAAUAUUGGACAAUGGGCGCAAGCCUGAUCCAGCCAUGCCGCGUGCAGGAAGACGCAUCUAUGGUGUGUAAACUGCUUUUGUACGGGAAGAAACACUCCCUCGUGAGGGAGCUUGACGGUACCGUAAGAAUAAGGAUCGGCUAACUCCGUGCCAGCAGCCGCGGUAAUACGGAGGAUCCAAGCGUUAUCCGGAAUCAUUGGGUUUAAAGGGUCCGUAGGCGGUUUAAUAAGUCAGUGGUGAAAGCCCAUCGCUCAACGAUGGAACGGCCAUUGAUACUGUUAGACUUGAAUUACUAGGAAGUAACUAGAAUAUGUAGUGUAGCGGUGAAAUGCUUAGAUAUUACAUGGAAUACCAAUUGCGAAGGCAGGUUACUACUAGUGGAUUGACGCUGAUGGACGAAAGCGUGGGGAGCGAACAGGAUUAGAUACCCUGGUAGUCCACGCCGUAAACGAUGGAUACUAGCUGUUGGGCGCAAGUUCAGUGGCUAAGCGAAAGUGAUAAGUAUCCCACCUGGGGAGUACGUUCGCAAGAAUGAAACUCAAAUGAAUUGACGGNUGAGAGAGACGAGACGACGACGAGGGAGGAGG
Molecule: ribosomal RNA, 609 nt
Filed under: uncultured bacterium
Lineage: Bacteria
Description: bacterial SSU rRNA
Rfam family: Bacterial small subunit ribosomal RNA
Source: RNAcentral